This 462-nucleotide ribosomal RNA is filed under the name uncultured bacterium. RNAcentral's name for it is "SSU rRNA". It matches the Rfam family "Bacterial small subunit ribosomal RNA", at positions 26 to 518 of the family's 1533-position model. The record is from RNAcentral.
AGAAUCAACGCUGGCGGCGUGCCUAACACAUGCAAGUCGAACGAGAAAGUGGAGCAAUCCAUGAGUAAAGUGGCGACCGGGUGAGUAACACGUGACUAACCUACCUUUGAGUGGGGGAUAACAUCGGGAAACCGAUGCUAAUACCGCAUAACAUCGCAAGAUCAAAGCAGCAAUGCGCUUAAAGAGGGGGUCGCGGCUGAUUAGCUAGUUGGCGGGUAACGGCCCACCAAGGCGAAGAUCGGUAUCCGGCCUGAGAGGGCGCGACGGACGACACUGGAACUGAAACACGGUCCAGACUCCUACGGGAGGCAGCAGUGGGGAAUUUUGCGCAAUGGGGGAAACCCUGACGCAGCAACGCCGCGUGGAGGAUGAAGCCCCUUGGGGCGUAAACUCCGUUUCGACCAAGACGAUAAUGACGGUACUGGUGGAAGAAGCACCGGCUAACUCUGUGCCAGCAGCCGC